AGGAAACCUUCAGCAGCUCCCCUGAGCAGCCAUGGAGAGCUUGGAGCAGAGUUGUGGGGUGGAUUUGCCACAGAGGCUGUGCUGGCCCUGCACUGUCUGAUGUGGAGCCACAGCAGGAGCCCCAGGUGCAGAGGAGGUGCCCACCUGGGCUGUCGUGGUGUGUGUCACCUCCUGAAGGAUGGCUCCAUCCUCCCCAGGGCUGACCUGCCUGGUCCCUGCAUAGGAGGGGAUACUCACACCUGUGAACCAGCUCUGCGAAACCCCAGCUCAGCUGCUGCUGCUUCAAGCCAGAAGACCCCAAACCUGAUGGUUUUGAUGUAACAAAGAUGAUUUCACUGAUGAAAUUGGCCUGAAACUGGCCAUUGUUGGCCUGAUGGAGGUGCAUUUCAAUAAAGGAUGCUUAAUAAUAUCAGACCAGAAAACUUCAUCACAGCUGCCCUUCAGAAAUCCUUGGGCUGAGAAGAGAGCUGUUUGGAAACACUCUGUAGCAGCACCACUGCUUUUAAUACUGUGGUAAAAUGAGGAUAAAUCUGUGCUGUUGUAAGUACAUGACAGUGUAAAAAGUCUGGAAAACUGUCCAGGUAGGGUGGGAGGAUAAACCCCAAUGUCAGUCCCUGAUGAUUCCCUUUGGCUUCGCUUUCCUCCUCUGUGACUUUGUGAAUACAUUUGGCAGUGGCUGGAGUUCAAGUUACAGCCACAGAGAGGAAAAGUGGAUGUCAUUGAAGAUGUGCUCUGGAAAGAAAAUGCAAACCUGCUGUACAUAAUGACAUGGGAUAGUUUGAGGAUUAUUUCUUCCUAAAUGGCCCGAUGCAAGCGAUAACUCUUCUGGACUGCAGCAAAGAGAACACAGCGUCCACAGGAGUUCUGCAGCAUUUCCACAUUUCCCUUAACCUUAUAAACACAAUUUUUAAUGGGCUGUUAGCAGGAUGUCAGGCUGGAAUGUUUCCCCAGCCUCUGAAGGCAGCAGACACGAACAGGGAAGCUGCUGCACACUGAACAGGAGAGGGCACUGGCACUCCAGCAGCUGUGCUGGGCUCAGCACCAGACGCAGCCGAAGCACAGCUUUUACUGCAGCUCAGCACACACACUCUCAUCAUCUUCUGCUCUUAAUGUGAGAAAAGUCUAUGAAAAGAGUGAAUGAACUGCAUUUAUUGUCUGCGUCUGUCUGGGGACAAGGAAAUACACUUGCACCAGGUGGGAACCUACCCUUUCCUUUGAA
This is a non-coding RNA of Taeniopygia guttata (zebra finch), 1219 nucleotides long. Lineage: Eukaryota; Metazoa; Chordata; Aves; Passeriformes; Estrildidae. The record is from RefSeq and is a predicted model, not a curated record.